Molecule: ribosomal RNA, 1474 nt
Filed under: human metagenome
Description: bacterial LSU rRNA
Rfam family: Bacterial large subunit ribosomal RNA
Source: RNAcentral
UCCAAUCGAACUCGGAUAUAGCUGGUUCUCCUCGAAAUAGCUUUAGGGCUAGCCUUAGGGAAAGACUAGCGGAGGUAGAGCACUGAAUGUUGGAGGGGCCUUCACCGGUUACCGAAAACUAUCAAACUCCGAAUGCCGCCAAGUUAUACCUAGGAGUCAGACUAUGUGAGAUAAGUUUCAUAGUCGAAAGGGAAACAGCCCAGACCAACAGCUAAGGUCCCAAAAUGUAAGUUAAGUGGAAAAGGAUGUGAAGUCGCACAAACAGCUAGGAUGUUGGCUUAGAAGCAGCCAUACAUUUAAAGAGUGCGUAAUAGCUCACUAGUCGAGUGACUUUGCGCCGAAGAUAAACGGGGCUAAAACUUACUACCGAAGCUUUGGAAUUACGAAAGUAAUUGGUAGAGGAGCAUUGUAUAUAGGAAGAAGGGCAAGCGUAAGCGAACCUGGACAGUAUACAAGAGAGAAUGUUGGCAUGAGUAGCGCAAGGCAGGUGAGAAUCCUGCCCGCCGAAAAUCUAAGGAUUCCUGAGGAAGGUUCGUCCGCUCAGGGUAAGUCGGGACCUAAGCCAAGGACGAAAGUCGUAGGUGAUGGACAACUGGUUGAGAUUCCAGUACCACCAAAAUUUGAUUGAGUGAAGUGGGGACGCAGAAGGAAGAGCUGAGCACGCGGUUGGUAGAGCGUGUCCAAGUAUCAAGGGAGAAUAUAAAGGCAAAUCCGUAUAUUCAUAUUCUGAGGUACGAAGGGGAAGGAAAUAAAGUACUGAAGCAGCAUAAAUCACACUGCCAAGAAAAGCCGCUAGCGAGAAUUGAGGUGCCCGUACCGCAAACCGACACAGGUAGAUGAGGAGAGAAUCCUAAGGUGAGCGAGAGAACUAUUGUUAAGGAACUCGGCAAAAUAACCCCGUAACUUCGGGAGAAGGGGUGCCUGCUUCGGCAGGCCGCAGUGAAAAGGCCCAGGCAACUGUUUACCAAAAACACAGGUCUCUGCAAAAGCGAAAGCUGAAGUAUAGGGGCUGACGCCUGCCCGGUGCUGGAAGGUUAAGGGGAAAUGUAAGGGCAACCGAAGCAUAGAACUUAAGCCCCAGUAAACGGCGGCCGUAACUAUAACGGUCCUAAGGUAGCGAAAUUCCUUGUCGGGUAAGUUCCGACCCGCACGAAAGGCGUAACGAUCUGGGCACUGUCUCAACAAUAGACUCGGUGAAAUUGUAGUACCGGUAAAGAUGCCGGUUACCCGCAGCAGGACGGAAAGACCCCGUGGAGCUUUACUGUAGCUUGAUAUUGAGUUUCGGCGUUGCAUGUACAGGAUAGGUGGGAGACAAUGAAGCAAGUACGCCAGUAUUUGCGGAGUCAUCGUUGGGAUACCACCCUUGUAACGCUGGAAUUCUAACCAUGUACCGUGAACCGGUGCUGAGACAGUGUCAGGUGGGCAGUUUGACUGGGGCGGUCGCCUCCUAAAGAGUAACGGAGGCGUUCAAAGG